Molecule: transfer RNA, 74 nt
Filed under: Chloroflexota bacterium
Lineage: Bacteria; Bacillati; Chloroflexota
Description: tRNA-Pro
Rfam family: tRNA
About the family: Transfer RNA (tRNA) molecules are approximately 80 nucleotides in length. Their secondary structure includes four short double-helical elements and three loops (D, anti-codon, and T loops).
Source: RNAcentral
CGGGGUGUAGCUCAGCUUGGCAGAGUGCGUGAAUGGGGUUCACGAGGCCCCGGGUUCGAAUCCCGGCACCCCGA